GAGGAGGUGGCUGAGUGGUUGAAAGGCGGCAAUUUGCUAAAUUGUUAUAUAUUUUCGAUGUAUAUCAUAGGUUCGAAUCCUAUCCUUUUCA
Molecule: transfer RNA, 91 nt
Filed under: Rhodomelopsis africana
Lineage: Eukaryota; Rhodophyta; Florideophyceae; Ceramiales; Rhodomelaceae
Description: tRNA-Ser
Rfam family: tRNA
About the family: Transfer RNA (tRNA) molecules are approximately 80 nucleotides in length. Their secondary structure includes four short double-helical elements and three loops (D, anti-codon, and T loops).
Source: RNAcentral